GGAAAUCUCACCAGGCCCGGACACUGGAAGGAUUGACAGAUUGAUAGCUCUUUCUUGAUUCGGUGGGUGGUGGUGCAUGGCCGUUCUUAGUUGGUGGAGUGAAUUGUCUGGUUAAUUCCGAUAACGAGUGGAGCCUGUGGCUUAAUUUGACUCAACGCGGGAAAUCUCACCAGGCCCGGACACUGGAAGGAUUGACAGAUUGAUAGCUCUUUCUUGUUAGCAAUAA
This 226-nucleotide ribosomal RNA is filed under the name uncultured eukaryote. RNAcentral describes it as "partial 18S ribosomal RNA". It matches the Rfam family "Eukaryotic small subunit ribosomal RNA", at positions 1208 to 1420 of the family's 1831-position model. The record is from RNAcentral.